RNAcentral lists this unclassified non-coding RNA (253 nucleotides) under uncultured Paracoccaceae bacterium. Its description in RNAcentral is "uncultured Rhodobacteraceae bacterium contains 16S-23S intergenic spacer region". It matches the Rfam family "Bacterial small subunit ribosomal RNA", at positions 524 to 776 of the family's 1533-position model. Lineage: Bacteria; Pseudomonadati; Pseudomonadota; Alphaproteobacteria; Rhodobacterales; Paracoccaceae. The record is from RNAcentral.
UACGGAGGGGGCUAGCGUUGUUAGGAAUUACUGGGCGUAAAACGCACGUAGGCGGACUGGAAAGUUGGGGGUGAAAUCCCGGGGCUCAACCUCGGAACUGCCUUCAAAACUAUCAGACUGGAGUUCGAGAGAGGUGAGUGGAAUUCCGAGUGUAGAGGUGAAAUUCGUAGAUAUUCGGAGGAACACCAGUGGCGAAGGCGGCUCACUGGCUCGAUACUGACGCUGAUGGACGAAAGCGUAGGUAGCGAACAGG